Long non-coding RNA from Scylla paramamosain (green mud crab), 3020 nucleotides. RefSeq lists it as uncharacterized. The transcript has 2 exons. NCBI's taxonomy places the organism in Eukaryota, Metazoa, Arthropoda, Malacostraca, Decapoda, Portunidae. The record is from RefSeq and is a predicted model, not a curated record.
GUGUGGAGUGACUGUAGCAUUAGUGGAGGAUCUGCCAGUGGUUAGUGUUGAUUUCCUUUUAGGGAAUGAUCUGGCAGGAAGGAAAGUUUGUGUGCAGUCUUUAUCUGUGGAUGCGGCCUGGGUGUGGAAACUGUUGAUGUAUCUAUGUUUGUUCUGUUACUCACCUUAAGGUGAGGUGAGCAUGCUGGCAUCAGGUGCUUGCAGGUUUUGUGACUCCUGGGGAAAACUGCAAUAAGGCAGGGAUGCCACAAAAGAAGUGCAGUAUUUGUAUUGAUGCUGCAGUGGAGGCAGAGUGCCCAGAUACCUGUCCUGCUGCUGGUGAGGGUCUGAGCAAGUUAGUGUUGGACUUGUGUUUGAGUCAGCGUGCUGGGGCUGACUGCAGAAGCACAGAGCCACUGCAGAAGGCAUCUGACUUUGAUGAAAGUGUUGCUGAGGGGUGAGGCUGGAGUGAUGGGCUUAGAUUGUUUGUUUGAUAGUUUGCCUCACCCUGCGGAGCCUCUCAGAGGUGAUGCUCAGGCCGAGUUGUCACCUGGAGUUGAGGCUGUGGGCGCUGGUACUCAGUCUGCACCCCAGUCUGUUGUGUCUGGUAUGUUGGGGGGUUGCUGCCAAAGGCUGGGAGACUCCCGACUCUGCUGGGGAGGAGGGAGUUUCCUCCUCUGUGGAGUGUACUUGAGGUCAGGAGCAGGCUGCUCCUGUGCCAGCACCAGACAUGUUGGGUGUUUGCUCACAUAGUGAGCCACCUGUGUUGACAGCUGCUGCUACAGCUGUUAGCAUACCCACGGAGAGUUCUGCCCCUCGAGUAUGUGCUGACUCAUUACUGGCCAAGGCAGGAGUGGCUGGUAAGGAAGUAUUUGCAGGUGUUAGUAAUAUUUUGAGUAGUCAGUGGAGAAAGGAGGACAGAGGUUUGUUGCUCUAUUUUGUUCAGCCAUCCACAGUCAAGGAGGCACAGGUGCUGAUAGCAUGUAUUGGCCUGGUGUUCGACCAUUUUGGAGUCAGGCUGACUUGGGAGCAGUUGAGGUGGUUUUGGUGGUUGGAUGUGGCCAUGUUUGUUGGGUGUAACUGCGUGGGUUGGGCUGGCAAGCCUGAUGGCCUUCUCCCCUGUAUUAUGUUGAGUGUUGUUUCCCAUAGUGUGAGAAUUGUGAGUGAUUUUGCUUGCCCAAUUCCUCCUCCCUGAGACAGAUGAUGAGGUAGCUGGCACGAGCAUUGUGGUACCACAUUGAGGGGCAGCAAUGAGUGAGGCUGCUUGUGUUAGUGUGUUGCUUGCUGCUCAGAAAGCACCCUCAGUGUUGCUCAGGCCUUCAUUUGGUGGCAUUGCUGGUGCUGAUUGUCAGGUGCUAGGCCCAAGUAGGGUAGUGUUUGAUGAUGGAUGUCUGCACCUCAAAGCAACAAGGCAUCGGGUUUGAUGAGAAAUGACUGCACACGGAAGUAGUUGUUGGGACCAGUGGGUCUGGCCCAGGGGCACACUGGCCAGGCUCAUGUUGGAGCUGGUGUUUGUUGUAUUGUGUUGGCCAUGUGCGUGAGUUUGACUCCAUGUGCAGGAAUGGAUGUGCUGCAUCCUGGAAAGGAGCAGCUAUCAGCUCAAAAAGAAGAAAUUUCUGUGUCAUCAAGUGGCCAGCAGGAGGAAUGUGUGAUAGUAUAGCUGUACCUGAAUAGUGAGAAGCAGGCUUGGUCAUGUCACCCCCCCAGAAGGCACCUCUUGUUUUUGCUGAGGAAGUGGCAUUCUUAUUUUGUCAGUUUUAUGGGUGUGGCAUGGAGGCUCCACAGAAUGAGGAGUGGGUAAACAGGAUUGAGGCUGUGGGCAGUGAAAGCCUGGAGGAGAGAGUAGUGUGUUCUCUGGUGAGGAGACUUGAGGGGACCAGCGAGUUGAAUGUGUUUGGCUGCCCAGAAGGGAGGUUUGUUUGGCCAAGAAGGGGAUUGCUUGGUGGUACUGUGACAAUGCACCAGGAGGCUAUGGUCCCUGAUGGGCUCUUUGAGUGUUGCAAAGGCACAGGGAUGUCAUUGUUUGGUGACUGAUGUUUGUACAAUGUGGAGAAGAUGCAGGAGUAGACUGUGUAGCAGAGGGAGCAGGAGAGGUGAGAGUAGAUGGAAAAGUGCUGAAGGCAGAGGAAAGAGAUGAUGGAGAUGGAGGAAGAAAGAUGAGUCAUGGGAGCAGUUGGGGCAGCUGUAGCUGCAGGAGAAGAGAUACAGAAAUGAUAUCCUACAAGGAAAAGCCUGCACAUUGAUGUAGCUGGGGAGAUCACAGGUUCUGGUGGAGAGCCAGAGACAGGUCUCAAAGGAGGAGGAGAAAGAAAUGGCAGUUUGAGUAUGGAAGGCCCAGGUGGAGCCCUGUUGUUGCUACUUUUGAUAACUGUUCAUACUGAUGUUUUUGUAGCUUCCGUAUUGUGAUUUGUGCAUGCCUCUAUUUUGACUCUGAUGCAAAUUGCCCCAGUUAGUCAUGUGUUGAGUUUGAAUUUGUUGUUUUCCAAAAUUUUGAUAAGCUUUGUAUUUCCAAAAAAACUUGUUUAUAGGAGGGCAUGUUAUGUGGGGCAUAAGCAUCGAAGAGAAUGUGAGGAGUCAGGUGGAGCUAGACGCAUCGUGAUGUUCAGCUGCUUAGUGUGGGGUUUGAUGGGAAGUGUUUGCUUUGGAACGAGAGAGAUUUUGGCAUGGAACAUGGACACUUGAGGCGUUGUUUUAGAGAUCUGGAUUGUGUGGCUUUGUCAGCAUAGUAGGAGUUUCACGGUGAUGCUUAAGGACCGUAGCCGCAGUCGUCUUCACCAGUGUGUGCCUGUCUACUGGAGGAGUGGUGUAGUGUAUGGCCAUCCUGAGCCCUAUCAGUCUGUGGUGACAAGAGGGAGACGCCUGUCAUCACUCAGCAGGGGAAAAGAAGCAUUCGUGUGAACGAGGGUUGCCCGUGGUGUCCCUCAACUGGAAAUUUUGAGGUGUAUAAGUUUCAUUUAGUUAUUUCUUCUUUUUUUUGGUUGUGAGUUUACACGAGUUGUGUAUUGAUUUAUUUUGAUAUCCAUUAAAGUGUUAUUUAUAUG